CUGUGCCUAUGUACUUCCACAAAUACUUGAUGCAUAUUCGUAAUUACAGCAAGUCAUCUUUCAUUAUUUUUUUUUUUAAACAGGUCCUGUCUGCUUUUUUUUGUAUCUAGACGAUAGGAAUUGGGCAACUUUUUUAACAGGUACGGUAGCAGAAAAUAUGUGUGUUUUGGUAGGUUAGUUGAUGAGGAGCCCUGCGUUGCCUAAUGGUAAUGCUUUUUCACAGUUCAUAUUUGAUUAUGCCGAGAUGCUCCCUAGGCCCUGCCUCUUCCAAAUGCAUAUAGACAUUUAUAUUCCGGACACUAAAAACCAGCAGAAUUCCAAUGCUCCUUUUACCGUAUUUGAAUUAGUCAUCAGCUACCCUGAAACUUCAAACCAGCUGAUAACAUUCUGAGUAUGAAAACCAGGCUCAGGUGUGACCUCACGUACAGGCAUAAGUAGUUAUUUCUCUUUUGUAUUUGGCAAGGCAGGAGAAAGGAAUGUAAGUAUCUUCCCUGCAAAAUCUGCCAAUGAAUAAAAUCACUUUCAGCUAACUUUAGGCAGACUGGUGGAUUUCAUGAGUCACGGGAAGAGAGAAGGUUAAUGUAAUGUUUUCAGAUCUAAGUUUCAUGUAACAUGCUCUGGAAAAGAACUAGAAUUGGAAAGAAUUAAGUGAUAUGCUCUCACCACCAACUGUGUGUGCUAUCAAGAACCUACUAAUCAGUGCAAAUCCGGGAGAAUAAAGCAGGGGAGAGUUAUUCCCCUUUCAGCUGCCAUGACAGGACUCACCGCUCUUGUCACCGAGAGGAAUCUGUCAUAGCUAAUCAGCACGAUGUUGAAGACCGAGGAGGUGCAGAGCAGAAUUGCACAUAGAUUUACAAGCUGGACAGAGGAGGUAUGGAGAAGUUCUGCCUUCCCAAGAACUCUUGUACAAAUAAAUGAAGUCUCCAUGUGGGCUGCUUAUUCUGACCACCGAAGACAGUGCUGGGAUUUGCUUAUCGCAGUGGAGCACCUUCUUCUACAGGCCAGGGUAUAUGAGACACCGGUGAGCCUGAAAAUUCAUGGCAAACAGACAGAAGACUAUGAUGUGCAAUUUUUCCAUGUGGAAGUAGUUAAUGAAGGCUGCAUUGGUGCGAGUGUAAAUGCCGUGCUUUGAGCCAAAACCCUCCCUACGUGACAAUGAGGAGAGAGUACCUGCAAAACCCGCUUCCAAGUGGCAGGGCUUGAAAAAUGUCAGCAUGCUUUGCAUACGGAAUGGCCAGGCCAAGGAAACAUGGCAGAGGUGAGCCGGCUUCCCCUCCUGCCCUCCUGCCAGGUCCCGUCCCCGGCAGAGCUGGUGACCGGGAAUAAAUCCAAAUGCGAAGCGGGCCCUGGGCAGCAAUGCCGGGGGAAAGCAAGGCUCUUUGUCUGGGCUUCUCCCUGCUGGAAGCCCUCAGCUAACAGACAGCUGGCGAGGCUCCUUCCUGCCUGCCCUGGCCAUUGGGGCUGGAUGGCUGGAAAACAGGGAUCGUGCUCUGUGCUUGGGAAAUGGCAGGCAGGGCUCCGGCUUUGGUGGCCACACAGAGCUUGGCAACUGCCUUGUCACUGGUCUUGGCCAGCUGCUGGCAGCACAGCACCCAGGGCUGGAGCAGGUUUGGCUUUGGGUUCAGGACAUCGGGUUUUAUGCAUGGAAAUGGGGACAUGGAGAGGUUUUACCAUUCCUAUGCCAGCAGCAUAAGGGAAUGGCUACUUGUCAGCUGCAAAUUCAAGCCAUCUGCCUUGAUCAUUAGAAACUUCCAGUUUGGCAUUUAACUUAGACAACGUAAUGGACUCUAUUUUUUUCCACUGUGCCCAAUCUGAAUCUGUCUUACUUUUCAGUUUCCAAAUAUAUAAACAGCAACCCAAACGAUUCAUGGUACUUUAAACCUGGAGUUAUGCAGUCUCUUCCUUCCCAACAGAGUCCCUUCUUCAGUUCUGAUGGCCAUUCUUUUACCUAAUAACUUGUUUUCUCACAUUUUCUGAAAGAGCUCCCUGAGACAAAAAUAAUGCUGAACAUGUAAGACAUCAUUGUGAAUAUCAAUAAGGUUUUUCUUCUCCUUCUGCUCCCCGUUCCUCCUCUGGGCUAAAAGCAAACACAAUCAGCUGUAGCUGACACAGGAGCUGAAGAGAGAGGCAUCUUAGUUACUCUGCCUGUCAGGGUUGCUUGUACAGCAGACGUCAGAUCUAGAGCCAAACUUCCCAACUCCAUCUGGGACAAGAGUAGAUUUUUUUUUGUUCAUGCUCAAAUAUUCCAUGUAUUUUAUGAUUUGCUUUUUUGGAAUUUCACAAUGAGACCCCCCCCUUUUUUUUAACCAAUCUGCAAAUUAGUAUCAUUUGUUUCUGGAAAGUUUAGGUGCUGAUUUUCAAGCACAAAAGAUGCUGAAGCAUAAAAUGAAUGAUCUUAUUUUGAUGGAUGUGUGUGAAUUAGUGGUUACUAAUUAGUUUUAGUGGUUGCCUAGGGACCAGUUAACAGGACUUUGUUACAUUCAACACAGAAAACUGUCCCAGGAAGUAGUACGUGCGUAUAAAUAUUUGUUUGAUGAGUGGUGGUAAUUUUGGAAAGAUAAAGAAAAUGACAUGCUGAACUGAUUUAGAACAGCCUAUAGU
Oxyura jamaicensis (ruddy duck) is the source of this 2601-nucleotide long non-coding RNA. RefSeq lists it as uncharacterized. The transcript is spliced from 6 exons. The record is from RefSeq and is a predicted model, not a curated record. Lineage: Eukaryota; Metazoa; Chordata; Aves; Anseriformes; Anatidae.